RNAcentral lists this long non-coding RNA (809 nucleotides) under Nicotiana tabacum (common tobacco). Its description in RNAcentral is "long non-coding RNA (NTAB_LNC013872)". The record is from RNAcentral. Lineage: Eukaryota; Viridiplantae; Streptophyta; Magnoliopsida; Solanales; Solanaceae.
UUUCAAAAGCAGUACAAACAAAAGCGGGAAGAAAAGGAUAAGUGAACAAUCUUCCAAAAACAUCCAUUUUGCAUGCAUUUUUUUGCUAAUUGUUCUGCCACUCCAUUAGCUUCUCUAAAUACAUGUUUUAGUGGUGGAUCACUCGUGCUCCUCAAUAGGGGCCUGCAAUCAUAUCAAUCAAGUUUUGAUAGAAACAAUCAUUGAUAGCCAACAAAUUAAUAAGUUCUUGACAGUCAGUUUCAAUUACUAACAGCAUCAAGCCUCUUUCAAUAGCUAGUUUAACCCCGUGAAGCAGUACCAGCAUGUAUAUAUUUGUCGUGUGUUUUACACUCAUGUUAAAACCCAGGAUCCAUGGGUUGUUGUUAUCCCUAAAUACUCCCCCUAUACCCCGUUUCUUGGAUUACCAAUGCAAGCCCCGUCUAUGUUAAGUUUAUAGAAACCGGUAUGUGGUGGUUCCCACUUAAUAAGAAUGGUGUUCCUUCUAGGAUUUUUGGCUAGCUUAUUAGUUGCAAACACGAAUUCUAUUGCCCUACUCACUGGAACAUUGACAUUAGGGUUUGGGGGGGGGGGGGGGGGAUUUAUUAUCCUUGAAAACAAUAUCAUUUCUGGUGGUCUAUAUAUGCUAUAGUAGGAAGGGAAGUAAUUAUGACCUACAUCGGAAAUAACAUCAAAUGUGGAGACGUCAUACAAACCUGGAAAAACAUUUAAGACGCGUCAGCAACAAAGCCUAGUUGACAUAGUUGUUGUAGGGCUUUCUAGACUUCAAUUGAUCUCUAAGCCAGUUAUUUACACAUGGUAUCAUUUGUAUA